UGGGGAAUAUUGCACAAUGGGCGCAAGCCUGAUGCAGCCAUGCCGCGUGUGUGAAGAAGGCCUUCGGGUUGUAAAGCACUUUCAGCGGGGAGGAAGGCGAUAAGGUUAAUAACCUUGUCGAUUGACGUUACCCGCAGAAGAAGCACCGGCUAACUCCGUGCCAGCAGCCGCGGUAAUACGGAGGGUGCAAGCGUUAAUCGGAAUUACUGGGCGUAAAGCGCACGCAGGCGGUCUGUCAAGUCGGAUGUGAAAUCCCCGGGCUUAACCUGGGAACUGCAUUCGAAACUGGCAGGCUAGAGUCUUGGAGAGGGGGGUAGAAUUCCAGGUGUAGCGGUGAAAUGCGUAGAGAUCUGGAGGAAUACCGGUGACGAAGGCGGCCCCCUGGACAAAGACUGACGCUCAGGUGCGAAAGCGUGGGGAGCAAACAGG
Molecule: ribosomal RNA, 429 nt
Filed under: Chloroflexota bacterium
Lineage: Bacteria; Bacillati; Chloroflexota
Description: Chloroflexi bacterium partial 16S ribosomal RNA
Rfam family: Bacterial small subunit ribosomal RNA
Source: RNAcentral